This 285-nucleotide long non-coding RNA is filed under the name Carica papaya (papaya). Its description in RNAcentral is "long non-coding RNA (CPAP_LNC014088)". The record is from RNAcentral. Lineage: Eukaryota; Viridiplantae; Streptophyta; Magnoliopsida; Brassicales; Caricaceae.
GGGCCAUGUUGGCGAUCCGCGUGCGCGCGAUCGGACGGCCCAGAUCAAUCGCGCGCACGGACGGCCCAAAUUUAAUCGCACGGACGGCCCAGAUUUAAUCAAAAACGGACGGCCCAGAUUAAAUCAAAAUGGACGGCUGAGAUCAAAAGGCAAAAGGGUAUAAAUAAGACCCCCACACCAGACCACAAAACCCUAGUCGCCUGCCCUCGCCGGAGAAGACGAACCAGAAGCCGGCCGUCGCCACCCGCCGCCGCACCGGAGGGAUUUCCGACCGCCGAUCGAGGU